Molecule: long non-coding RNA, 1470 nt
Organism: Aethalodelphis obliquidens (Pacific white-sided dolphin)
Lineage: Eukaryota; Metazoa; Chordata; Mammalia; Artiodactyla; Delphinidae
Exons: 2
Source: RefSeq, a predicted model, not a curated record
UGUGGGAUCCUCCCGGACCGGGGCACGAACCCGUGUGCCCUGCAUCUGCAGGCGGACUCUCAACCACUGCGCCACCAGGGGAGCCCAUUUGAAUGGUGUUUAAGCAAAGGUCUAAAACGUCCCAUUGUGUGCCUGGCAACAGCCGGAUGGAUUUCUUUUUAGAAAUCCACUAGGAUCAGGAUGAAAAGCACCAAGUCUCUAAGGCAACCUUUCCUAAAAGCCUGAGUAAGAAGGAGUUGUGUGUGUGUGUGUGUUUGUGUGUUGGGGGGUGGGGAGAGGCAGGAGGCCAACCUUUUUUUGGGUGGAGCGAGCACUGGCCUGUGAGUCUGGAGCCCAGGGUUCUAACUGCAGCCUGACCCAGACUUGCUGUGCCAUCUAGGGGCAGCCCCCUCACCUCUCCGAGCCUCUCUUCCGUCCCUCGCUGUAAAACUGGGAAUUACUCGAGACAUCAGGGGUCUCUUCCAGCGCCAAGUCCCUGCAGCUGGUCCCAGGCCGGCUCCUGGGGAGCCCGGGGCCGGUGGGCCGGGCUGGCAUCAGAGCUCCCGGGAGGGCCCUACCUCCCUAGUCUAUGAGUAACAACUUGCAACCCGAGACCAGAGGGCGGUGGACGGGGUGGAGGGGGACCUACCUGGAGGCACAGGGAGGGGGCUGGAGGAAAGAAAUCGGGGGAAGCCCGGGUGAAGGGGAGGAAGGGGGGUUGAUUUUGCGGCAGGCACAGCCGCGCAGACGGAGGUGGGACCCGCGGAGCGCUGGGAGCUUUAGGGCCGACUCGCCAGCUGCCCUCGGAGGCGGCGGGGCUGGAAAAGCGAAGGCGGCGGCGCGCGCUUACCCGGUUGAUCUCGGCCAGCCUCCUCUCCUGCCGGGCUUUGAGCAAACCGAACGCUUUCCCUCCUGGAGGAGACAAAGAGGCGGCCGGGGAAGCGGGGGUCUCCCCGGGCCGCGCGCCCUCGGCUCGCGCCCGCUUCCCGCGCGCGGCAGACCCCACCGACCGCCCCGUGCGCACAGGUGGCGGGCGGGGGACACCGGGUGUGGGCAGGGGCGCGGGACAGCGUGGGGACAGCGGCACCUACCUUGGAACCUGUUGCUGAGCGCGACCGACAUGGAACCUCGACCAGUCCCUUCCCGCUCCGGGCCGCGGUUUCCCCUUAAACAGACCGUGGACGACCUUAGUACGCACUUCGUGGGAUGGCUAUAAAGAUCAAAUGCGGGUCCCAGCUGCCGGGAGCUGUAACGUGCCUUUCGCCUUUUGCGCAGCACGCACUUUUGGAAGGGAGGCCUAGGUUCCCAAACUUUAGUCUGAACUCUUGAAAGAUGAACAAACUUUUAGUUUCUUGAGAAAAUGCAUAAUGACAAAGUGCCUCUAGGGUAUCAGUGACACUUGAAAUCAAUUAGAACGAAUUAGUGUUUUGUUAAUAAAACCUUUUUUCUCGAGCGCUCACUGGGCACCAGGCACUUUGCCACAACCCAGGA